RNA transcript from Camponotus floridanus (Florida carpenter ant), 4518 nucleotides. It is a transcript of the gene named SET and MYND domain-containing protein 4, with no coding region annotated. Lineage: Eukaryota; Metazoa; Arthropoda; Insecta; Hymenoptera; Formicidae. The transcript has 10 exons. The record is from RefSeq and is a predicted model, not a curated record.
GUCCGCAUUCUAGCAACGCCUUCAGUCUAAUACCGGUCUUUCGUUCUAAUACCUCGUUCGUGUCUAUAAAGUAAACCCCUCAUAAAGCAUCGAGCCGCUGCGAGAGGCGUGAAGCAUCUCCGGGUACUGCGGUUUCCGCGGUGAAUGAGAGCGGUCGAGGAUCUUUAAAGUUUUACUCGUCGAGGGAAGACCGGUACGCCACCGGUAAUCCGUUUCAGUCAUUUUGUAUGCACUUGGGUGUCUCUCGGCCGAUAGUGCUUUGAAACUGUGAAUCGCCGGGAAGAAUCCAAAAGAAAAAAAAUUAGGAUGCAGACUCGGGAAGAAAAUAGCAAAAAGUUUGCACAAGGCAAAAACAGAUUGUGAAGUGAUUAUUUAAACGAUUAGUGGCCAAUGCAUUAGACGGUAUUUAAAGUAGGCACGAAGCCAAUACAAAUGUAUUUGCGAGAUAAAGUGGAACGUAAAUAAAAGGAAGAAUAACGAUAUAAGCGGAAGAGUUGAAAAAGAGUGUAUAUAAUAUAUUUAUAUGGGAUUUUAACUAGCGAACAAGAACUUGUUCCUGACGGGAAAGGUUUUUUUAAAUUCGGGUCUCGCCUCUGAUAGAGGAUUCUCGAGUGGCCAUUUCUCACGAGCGAAUAGAGUCGCUUAAUUCUCGAAACGAGAGAACAGGGAUCCGGACCGCUGCUUUUUAUGAUUCAGUACCGUGGAACACGGACUUGCGCGCUUCUAGCCGGACUGAGAAGUCGACGAAAUGUACAAAAUUACCACGCGGAUUUAACGAAAUUUUCCUCGGCAAAAUAUUUGCACGCGGCUCCUUGAUAUUCUGGUCAAUGCGCCCAGUAAAUUCACGUCGCGGACCCGUUUUCUCUCAAUCCCGAGAGUUCGCGAGAGGAGGUCGCGUGUUCGACGAGAACGGCGGAUACAAAAUGCCGAAACACUAGCUUCUGUAAUAUUCAACAGGAUCGGUCGAAGGAAACGCGACGACGCAACCUUGGAAGUAACGAGGCAGACUUCUAGUCGUCGCUACACUUGUAGCGCAUACGGAAAUUGAGAGAAAUUGCGUAUUCCGGGGGGAGAAUCCUCCUUCUUGUACAAGUAAAAAUAUGCAACGAGAUUUAAUCAAAAUAUAAUUAACUAAGAAUAUUAAGAAAACUGACGUACCGAAUAAGGACGUAAUAAUAAUCGCGAGAGGUAAAUUAAGAUAAAAUUCUUUACAUAAGAUAAAUUUUUCCUUCAAGACGUAUAAAUACAAGAGGACGGAUUAAAGGAGGUAAUAAGUAACAGGAAGCAACUGCGCUUUAAAUAAAAACGAAAUAAACUGGGGGGAGAAAGGAAAGUCACUGAGCGGUGCAAUCGUAACAACUAAGAGUAUACUAAUCCGCGAUAUAAAAACGGACGGACCGUAUUUCAGUCGUCUAAAAGCGAUUCACUCGCACAUACACAGAGGACCUCGUUAACGAAGCUCGGAGUCGAGACGGGAGGAGGAGGCGGCAUAGCACAAAGGGGUUUCCUCGGGGUGGCACGCGAGUCCUUCCGCGCCCAGGAAUGCAGGAACACGAUGAAUUUUACAGAACUCUCUGCUCGUCGGAGACCCUGCGCUCCGGCAAGAAGGGCUUCUUCCACGAUUUCAGCGAGUCCGUGAUGCGGAUCGCGGGCGAUACCUGGACGUCUAGGAUAUUCGGCCGAAUCGAUGACGACGCGGACCGGGUGAGGGCGAUCUUCGCCGAUGCGAAAAUACGGGAUGUCGUGGUCGACACGCUCGCAAAGGUGAAGCCCCUUUUCAGGGACAAGGAUGCCGACAUUUCUAAACGCAGACGACUCGAGGGAUACCAGCUCGCUGCCGUUGGCCAAUACGACAAGGCUCUUUUGCUGUUCAGUCAGGCUGUCCUGCGUGCUCCUCAACUAGAUAAGAACAAGACGGUCGAUCAGGGUAUGUCAUUGCCCUUGGCGCUGUUGGGAAGAGCCGAGAUCUUUAUGACCCUCAAAGAAUAUCAUUUCGCGUUGGAAGAUCUACGACUGGCCGCCGAACACGACUUGCCGGAUAAAUCGAUGCAGGAGCUUCGACGAAAGAGGGAAGAAUGCGAACGUUUCUUAAAAGUCAACGAGAAGUCUCUGGUGCUCGUCGAUCCCGUCAAUAACAUUGACAAGGUGACUCGAUUAAUCUUGAAUGAACAGAAAGACGAUGGCAGGCCGUUAAAUGGCGCCGUUAAUUCCGAGGCCCGCUGGUCGUCCAGCGCCCUGGAGAUUCGUGAGACCCCGGUAGCGGGUAAACACGCCGUCGCAGCCACGGAGAUACAUCCGGGCGAUACUCUGAUAGUCGAGCCACCGCUAGCGGGCUGUCUCCUACCCGAGUUCUACGGCACCCAUUGUCAGCAUUGUUACGCGAGACUGAAAGCGCCGAUCGGAUGCUCGAAUUGCAGCUGUGUCGCUUUCUGCGGGAGGAAAUGCAGGGACAUUGCGAUGGCGACGUAUCACAAGUACGAGUGUAAAAUACUUGCAUUAUUGAUAGGCUCUGGCAUGAGUGUACUCAGCAUGGUCGCUUUUCGAAUGGUGACGCAGGAGGGCCUGCGAAAGUGUUUGAAGAUCUACGAAGAGUUGAAGAACAGUGGCAGCGAAAAAGCCGCGACGUCUACAACGACAAUGCCGACAACAACGAUGACAACAACAACGAUGACGACGACGAUGAUAUCAGAUACGCAUGAUGCAAAAUCGCCAGCAAACAGUCGGUCGGCCAAAAGAAGAAUCAGACGGAAGAAGCUGCAGGAAUCUAGACGAAGUGAGGGCAAAAUCGAGAAGAAAGACGGGGAGAACACAAAGGAGUCCCAUAAGAGCGACAACGACAAUGUCGACAUGACGGCUUACAAUCUGGUGACGCACGCGAAUAAGAGGACGAAGAAGGACUUCUUAGAGAGAUCGCUGAUGGCGGCCUUCCUGCUCAGAUGCCUACAGAGAGUCGGUUUCUUCGCACAUCCCACAUCGGACGACGAGGUCCCGGGCGCCGAGGAGAUCAUCGUGGCCGCCCUGCUGCUGAGGAACUUGCAGCUGCUCCAAUUCAACGCCCACGAGUUCUUCGAGACGCGGUUAAGCGCGGGGCAUCGAUUUCGCGGCAGCCGCCCCGUCUACCUCGGGGUGGCGAUUUAUCCCACGGUCGCUCGCUUCAAUCAUGAUUGCUAUCCCGCGGUGACGAGAUACUUCGUCGGCCGACAUAUCGUAAUAAGAGCAAUUCGCGGUUUACGGCCCGGCGACGUUAUUGCUGAAAACUACGGACCGAUAUUCACGAAGAGAACUCUUGCCGAGCGUCAAAGGACACUAGCAGGAAGGUAUUGGUUCCGAUGCUCAUGCAGGGCCUGCCAAGAGGACUGGCCGCGCUUUGAGACUCUGACGAACGAUUCCGUCAGGUUGAGAUGCCCUACAACAGGAUGCAACGGACUACAUUCACGACCGCAGCAACGGCCAGAUAAGCCGAUAAAAUGUUCGGCUUGUCAAAAGAAAGUCUGCUUGGAAGAUCAGCUCGCGUGCUUGCAAGAGUGCGAGACGUUCUACACUCGCGGAUUGGCCAGUAUGGAGGAUGAAAGGGUCGAUGAGGCGAUUGGGACGCUGUGCGACGCCUUGAAGAGAUUCCACCGAGUCGCCUGUCCACCGCAUCGAGACACCCACCUGGCCGAAAUUGCUUUAAGCUCCUGUCUGAUUGACUACGGGAAUACUUGGAGACCAGCUGCGCUUUGAACGCCUGGAGAAGAAAAAGGAAGCUGACUGCCGUAAUCUCGAUGAAUCCGUGCCAGAUGACCGCGGCAGCGAACAUGUCUUUCGAAUAAAAGACGAGGGUGUUUGUGAUCCUUUAAGUCCAUAGAUACCUUGUAGUCGGGCUAAUUUACUCAAUGUACAUUGAUAUUUUAAGACAUAUGAUUACAACCAUUGUGAUCAAAUUUGAGAAACGCAAGAGAAACGUUAUCCUUAUUACCUUUAUAAAAUGGAGAUCGGUCCUAAGUAACUCAAUAAAACUCUCUGCGGGAAAAUAGAACAAAAAGAUGUUGCCCGCAGCGUCCUAUAAUUUGCACGUACAUACAUCGUUCUAUCUUUGGCCGACUAAUAUCAUGAUAUACACAAGAAAUAAAUGAUGAUAAAUAAUAUUGCGAGCGCGAAUCUGCUGUGCGCAAGUUAGGUAUCGAUAUCGGGAAAUUAGAGGCCGAGGCGUUUACUGAGGCGUCGACCUGAAAGUCAACUUUUUUAAUUUCGCCUGCACACAGAGCACAGGCAAUCAAUCGGUUCAUCCGAGAUCUCUCUUGAUUGCUUUCACUGUGUAUGUAUGUAUAUGUGCACGAUGUAUCGUAUCUCUGUCUGUGAAAACAUACGAUCGAGAGAUUCUUUAUAAGUCGAACACGAUUUUCUCCUACGUCUCAUCCUCGUUCUCAUCCUCGUUUACGAAAAGCAUGGAAUUUUGCCAAUCUUAAUGUCUGUUUAGGUAUCUUGUCACGCCAUUUAAACAAUUGUAUAAAAUGAUACAAUAAAUUAAAUAAGAGA